Long non-coding RNA from Parus major (Great Tit), 1203 nucleotides. RefSeq lists it as uncharacterized. The transcript is spliced from 3 exons. The record is from RefSeq and is a predicted model, not a curated record. NCBI's taxonomy places the organism in Eukaryota, Metazoa, Chordata, Aves, Passeriformes, Paridae.
CUGUCCCCAUCACAGGACCUGUCCCCAGGACCUGUCCCCAUCCCCAGGACCUGUCCCCAUCACAGGACCUGUCAAACACAGGCACGGGGCAAAGGCGGGGCUGGCCCCAAACCAAAGCUUUCUCUUCUCUCCUCUGGCAGAUCACCAGCUCUGCUCGUAAGAGGAGAAAGCCAGCUCCAAGGAAAAAGAAAGGUUUAUUAUUAGCCCAAAGGCCACAGUUGAAAUGAAAGGGAGCAGCUGCUCCAGACUUCACCCCUGGAGAAGGGGCUGGAGCAGCUCGGGGCUGCCUGAACAUCCCUGGGACAGAGCACAGAGCUCACACACCUCACCCCACACCGGAAAACGGCAGCAAACGGAGCUUGUCUCCACGUCCAGUGAAUAAUUCACCCAGGGCAAGGCAGCAGCAGCAGAACACGAGAGAAACCCCCAGAGACAAGCGGGAGCUGGGAGGUGACUCCGCUGCCAGGGAAAACCUUGGCUCAAGCCUUUCUUCCCAGGGGAGCAGGCAGCACCUCCCAGCUCCUGCCGGAUCCUCACCCUCAGGGGUUUAACCCAGGGCCUGGGGCAGGGCUGGGGACCGACACAACCUUUGGAUGUGAAAACAUCGAGCCUGGCAGCAGAAAACCAACUCUGGCUCUGAGACAGCCAGGAGCAAUCCAGGGUGUCAGAAUCGCUCCUCUGACUGCAGACACAGAUACACCACACAGAGAUUUGUACACUCCUGACUGGAUCUGUAUGUGUGCUGUGGGAAAUACAUACAUUCAAUAUUAAUAAAAAGUACAAAUACACAAUAUACCGAUUGUUAUAUAACUUAAAAAAAUUAUAUAAUGCAUUAAAAAUUGAGAAGCUGCUUGAAUAGAAAUAAAAAAGGAGAAGUUACAAGAUUAAAAUAACUGCUUUAAACUCUCUGUUGCAAACCUGGAAUAAUCACAGACUGCCAAACCAACCAGAGGGAGAAGGAAGAAAGGUUGUGCCACAACCCAGCAGAGCAGGGGAGUUAAGAGGCACCGCUCGCUCCAGGGGAAUCCAGGGAGGAAAGAGAUCCCUGGAUGUGACAAACUGCUCAACAGCAGCAGUGGGGUGGGCAAAAAGGGGCUGAAAAACAACUCAGUGGAAAGGUACAAGGCGAGGAAAACCCAGAGGGCGAGGACACUGAGGCCCAGGCUGUUAUCAGGAGAACAGCAGAAGCCAAACUGUUAUCAG